CUCAGGCCUUGCGACGAUCUCCCAGAAUUCAGCAGAGUGCAGCAAUUUGGGGUGUUUACUGGAUUCCUAUUUACCCUGCCUCCUUUGCGAAAUGGAUUUGCAGGGGGCUGAGUCAGCUGACCUUUCCUAAGGAUGGCCAAUUUGCUGACUCUGUGCAGGGGCCAGUGGGCAGAACGGCCUUCCGUUUCUCUCCAGCUGACUCCUGGGCUGCAGCGGGACCGAAUGGGAAUAUCCUCUCACUUCCAGUAUCCCUCGCUUCUGAGGGACCCAGUGAAAAUGCAGAAGAGUCCGGGAGCGUCUCAGAGGCUACUACGGGCAAUGCCACGUGCUGGGCAAGAUCGGGGAAAGGUAAAGAACCGGACCCUCAGAGAGGUUAAGUCUGAAGGCACACAGUGAGAGGGCCAGGAGCAAACUUGGGUCUGCAGACCUCAAAAAGAGCAGACAGGACAACUCCAGGCGUGGGCGUGGAGUGGGGCCAAUGGCCGAGGCCUCCCUCCUCUACAUGCUCUGUGCAGGAAAGGCUGGUCCAGCUCCCAGGAGCGAAUAAAAAGGAAAAGACAGCAAGAGAUGGACGUCGCAGGCAGGUGACGGACAUUUUGUCAAAAGAUGGCUGGGUUUCUGGCUCUCUCCUGCCUUAAACCCUUCCGUGGAUCCCCGCUACCUACAGGACCCCAUUCCAGGCUCCUCUGCCCAGCAUCCAACACUUUCCAGGAUCUGGCCUCGCCUUCCUUUUCAGCCUCCUGGGCCAUUGGGCUGCCCUGGUCCCCAGCGCCUGGGCUCCAGCUGACUGAGUGCCUCGCCGGGCCCUCCCCAUGCCCAUCUCUGCACUUUCAUUCCUUAUGUUCCCGCAGCCUGUGCCCGUCAAAGCCCCGCCUAGCUUUCAAGGCCCUGGGCAUCCUACCUCCGUAACAAGCCUCCCCAAUGUCUCCUACCAACCUUUGCGGCCCUGUGUGUUCAGAGCGUGCCAGCCCAGCAUCUAUCACAGCCUGGACCGGAGCUGGCCAUGGCUCAGUGGUGGCCGUGCCGACUUCUGCCAUCCUCCCAGGACGCCAGGUUCCUUAGAACCAGGGCUAGUUCAUCGCACAGGGCCCAGCACCUGUGUUGCUCUAAUAUACUUUGAAUUAAACUAGAACAUUAAGCC
Long non-coding RNA from Hipposideros armiger (great roundleaf bat), 1141 nucleotides. RefSeq lists it as uncharacterized. Lineage: Eukaryota; Metazoa; Chordata; Mammalia; Chiroptera; Hipposideridae. The record is from RefSeq and is a predicted model, not a curated record. The transcript has 3 exons.